RNAcentral lists this ribosomal RNA (434 nucleotides) under Enterobacter sp. RNAcentral's name for it is "bacterial SSU rRNA". It matches the Rfam family "Bacterial small subunit ribosomal RNA", at positions 343 to 769 of the family's 1533-position model. Lineage: Bacteria; Pseudomonadati; Pseudomonadota; Gammaproteobacteria; Enterobacterales; Enterobacteriaceae. The record is from RNAcentral.
GGGAGGCAGCAGUGGGGAAUAUUGCACAAUGGGCGCAAGCCUGAUGCAGCCAUGCCGCGUGUAUGAAGAAGGCCUUCGGGUUGUAAAGUACUUUCAGCGGGGAGGAAGGCGAUAAGGUUAAUAACCUUGUCGAUUGACGUUACCCGCAGAAGAAGCACCGGCUAACUCCGUGCCAGCAGCCGCGGUAAUACGGAGGGUGCAAGCGUUAAUCGGAAUUACUGGGCGUAAAGCGCACGCAGGCGGUCUGUCAAGUCGGAUGUGAAAUCCCCGGGCUCAACCUGGGAACUGCAUUCGAAACUGGCAGGCUAGAGUCUUGUAGAGGGGGGUAGAAUUCCAGGUGUAGCGGUGAAAUGCGUAGAGAUCUGGAGGAAUACCGGUGGCGAAGGCGGCCCCCUGGACAAAGACUGACGCUCAGGUGCGAAAGCGUGGGGAGC